RNAcentral lists this ribosomal RNA (440 nucleotides) under uncultured bacterium. RNAcentral describes it as "partial 16S ribosomal RNA". It matches the Rfam family "Bacterial small subunit ribosomal RNA", at positions 338 to 795 of the family's 1533-position model. The record is from RNAcentral.
CCUACGAGAGGCAGCAGUGGGGAAUAUUGCACAAUGGGGGGAACCCUGAUGCAGCAACGCCGCGUGGGUGAAGAAGUACUCCGGUAUGUAAAGCCCUGUCAGCAGGGAAGAAAAUGACGGUACCUGACCAAGAAGCCCCGGCUAACUACGUGCCAGCAGCCGCGGUAAUACGAAGGGGGCAAGCGUUAUCCGGAUUUACUGGGUGUAAAGGGAGCGUAGACGGCAAGGCAAGUCUGGAGUGAAAGCCCGUGGCCCAACCACGGGACUGCUUUGGAAACUGUGUUGCUGGAGUGCAGGAGGGGUAAGCGGAAUUCCUAGUGUAGCGGUGAAAUGCGUAGAUAUAAGGAAGAACACCAGUGGCGAAGGCGGAUGACUGGACGGCAACUGACGGUGAGGCGCGAAAGCGUGGGGAGCAAACAGGAUUAGAUACCCGGGUAGUC